Molecule: non-coding RNA, 1203 nt
Organism: Peromyscus maniculatus bairdii (prairie deer mouse)
Lineage: Eukaryota; Metazoa; Chordata; Mammalia; Rodentia; Cricetidae
Source: RefSeq, a predicted model, not a curated record
UGGGCCUGGCGGGAGUGCUGUGUGUAUACUUGUGGAAGACCCCGAGGGCAGGGAAUACAUGUGGCUAGGUCCACAUAGUCUUGUCUCCAUGUCCAAAUGAACAUCUAGUGAACACUGCCUAGCGUCUGCUAGCAAAUACACCUAGGAAACGCUGCCCACAGCUCUCUCCAUCACACGAUCCAUAUCCUUCCACCCACCCAAUUGGUCCUUUGUAAGGUGAACGCAUGCUGGGUACCACCACUGUGCAUGCCAGCACCCGGAGCAGCCUCUGCAGAUUGUCUUGGAAUCUGGGGGUUCAGGGUGAUCCCAACACUACACAGCUCCAGUGCCAGGCCCUCUGACCCUAGGUCUGCUUUGUUACUGUAAGGCCUGGGAGCUCUUCUCCUAGGGGACUUCCUGAUGAUGGCUCGGCCAUGUUUGUGGUCCCUUAGCUCUUGAUCCAGCAUGCCAUCUCUUGUUCCACAUCCUGGCUCCAGUCUGUAGCUCUCAUCCCCUAGGGCUCUGGCCCCCUAACACUGGAGAGGGUGAACACCUGGAGAAAUCGGUUAGGAUGUGAAACCCCCGCGCUCCAGGUGUUUUCUUUCCUGUGGAACUGCAGCCAGGAAGCCAAGCAGUGCGAUAAUGGAGUCUCGGUUUGCAUCUCUGCCACGGGUGACCUGUCUGACCUUGAACCAGUUACCCCUCCUUUCCGGGCUGCAGGGUCUCCUCAUCCGCACCGAAGGAAUCUCAGCACCUAUCCCGCGUGCUAUUUUCAUAGAGAAAUGGGGUUUGACAUGCGGUGAGGAGCCUGGGGCCUCGGAGAAAGGAAGAGACACCUAGAGUCACUCAGCAGUGAGGAGGUAGAAUCAAAAUUAGCCCCGUGAAAUCACAGAUCUCAAGAGGCUCUAGGAGAGACCUCAAGAGAUCAUCUGUGUGAGCUUUGCCCUCAGACAAGCAAGAUAGUGUGAGCCACAUCUUGUAGAUAAAGCAGGGAAGGGGGCCAAAGGGGAUAAGAGCUCGCUCGGUCCUCCGCUGCCUCAGCACGAGGCAGCGCUUUGCUCUCCAAUCCUCCCCUCGGGGAAAGACAGACAGAUUGUGGCACAGGAGCCCCGCACGGUCAAGACGGAAUUAUGAGAGCUGGGGACGGACGGCACAGAGUUGGCAGAGUGCUCGCCUGACGGUCGCAAGACCCUGGGCUCCAUCACAAGUGCCACGAAGCAACAA